CCUACGGGAGGCAGCAGUGGGGAAUAUUGGACAAUGGGGGCAACCCUGAUCCAGCGAUGCCGCGUGGGUGAAGAAGGCCUUCGGGUUGUAAAGCCCUUUAGGUUGGGAAGAAGGUUGGUGGAGGAAAUGCCAUUAACUUGACGGUACCGACAGAAUAAGCACCGGCAAACUCUGUGCCAGCAGCCGCGGUAAUACAGAGGGUGCGAGCGUUAAUCGGAUUUACUGGGCGUAAAGGGCGCGUAGGCGGUGAGACAAGUGUGAUGUGAAAGCCCCGGGCUUAACCUGGGAAGUGCAUCGCAAACGGUCUGACUGGAGUAUAUGAGAGGGUGGCGGAAUUUCCGGUGUAGCGGUGAAAUGCGUAGAGAUCGGAAGGAACGUCGAUGGCGAAGGCAGCCACCUGGCAUAAUACUGACGCUGAGGCGCGAAAGCGUGGGGAUCG
Molecule: ribosomal RNA, 439 nt
Filed under: uncultured Caulobacter sp.
Lineage: Bacteria; Pseudomonadati; Pseudomonadota; Alphaproteobacteria; Caulobacterales; Caulobacteraceae
Description: bacterial SSU rRNA
Rfam family: Bacterial small subunit ribosomal RNA
Source: RNAcentral